Molecule: long non-coding RNA, 357 nt
Organism: Pterocles gutturalis (yellow-throated sandgrouse)
Lineage: Eukaryota; Metazoa; Chordata; Aves; Pterocliformes; Pteroclidae
Exons: 3
Source: RefSeq, a predicted model, not a curated record
CCGGCGUGCCCUCCACCUGUGCAGAAAGGAGAGUGCCAUGCUAAUUUCAUCAGAAAGGAGCAGUGUUCAUUUAGUUGGGACUGGGGUCCUUCUUUUCCCACUCAAGGAAUCUGGAAAGAUGUUAGGAUUGAGGCCUAUAACCAUUAUCACCUGAUUUACUUUUCUUUGACUUCUUCCUUUGUAAAGAGUGCUCAGCAGUGGAGUCUUGAAAUUGAGUCUAUUUUUGAUGUAGUCAGCUCCAAGCCAAUUGCAGGUAUUGUGACUGUGCACAUUCCCAAAUUGCAAACGCAGAAAACAUUCAGUGUGAAGCUUCAACCUGGAGAAGGCAGUGUUGUGCUGCUUGUAAACAUCAACAAG